Molecule: long non-coding RNA, 1425 nt
Filed under: Mus musculus (house mouse)
Lineage: Eukaryota; Metazoa; Chordata; Mammalia; Rodentia; Muridae
Description: long non-coding RNA chr14:70075160-70076585
Source: RNAcentral
GAUUCCGGCCGAAGCCCGGGACCGCUGCAGCGCGCAGUCUCCCCGCGCCGCGCGGGCGGAGGAGAACCCGGGGGCGCAAAGCCUCUAGAGCACAGGAAUGGGUAGCCUGGAGGGAGAGGAGGUGGGGGUGGCAGAGAUGGGGGCUCACGGGCGGCGGGAAUCCCUCCUUCCCUAAGAGCUAGAGGAGAUCCGGGGGAGUCUGGGCCCUUCCCACCCAAUGUUCUCCUCCAAACUGAGGGGAGGGAAGAGGGAGUGAGGUUGUCAUCCACCCCCAUCACAAUGCGCAGCUAGGGAGUUCCUCCCACGCGUCCCCCGGCCCCGCAUGGACCUCCCACGGCGUGAGGCCCGGGGAUCCUCUCUUCCUUCUUGUCAACACUCCCACUCCCCCUGAGAGAUGCAAGUUCCCCCAACCCCGACUCUCCAGCGGGGGCCGCGGGAUUCACCGCGCCCACGCGGCCACUGAGGAGGGAAUCCUCCCCCGCCAACCCGGUGUGAUUCGGGGUCGCGCCUCCGUGCUCCCUCCCUCUCCUCCCCCUCGCUCUCAGCCAGGCUGCGCGCUUCAGGAGCAGGCCUCGGGGAACACAUCACCCACCCCCGGGAUCCGCUGUCGAGGUGACAGCACCCUGGGUCGGCACAGGGGGCCGCCCUUGACUGCAAGGCACCCUCAGGCAGCAAUGAGGACAACCCUGCGGGAGACAGAGAGUAGAGACUGGAGGAGACCGCCUUGGUGGCUUAGAAUCUGUGGGUUUCACAUCUUCCCGCAGUAACUCAGCCGCAAGCCCUUCGCCGGCUGCAGUAGAUAGCGACUGUGCCCCGGCCUGCUGGGCCCUCCUGCCAUCCUGUGGCCAAAGGGGUUUGCUUUAGAACCGUUAGGGAAUUUAUCUGGGAAUUAUUUGGUGCACGUGUUUUCUAUCCCCUAAACUUCACUCUUUCCUAAUCUCCACAACAACAACAACAACAACAAAACCCUCAUACCCUCGCCCCUAAAAGUUCUUGCCCACUGCGCAACUAGCUAAUCCGCUACACAUUCCCGGGCCACUGCGCUCAACUGAGAGUCAGCGCGGGGUCAGGAACCCCAAGGGAGGGGCCGGGGCUGCGGGCGGUGAAUCAGAAUGAUGUCCGCACGAAAGUUCUAAGUGUCCAAGAAUAAGAAGCCUUAGGACAUUAGAACCCCUUCCCCAAAGGAAAAUACUUCAUCUCUCCAUCUGAAUCCAGUCAAGGAUAAGAAGGAAAGACAGAAGUUGUGUGGGGGAGCCUGGCUUGAAGCGGUCACCUCUCCCAUUCCUAGACUGCUAAGGAACCUGUGUCCUGGUGUACUGAACUCUUUCUAAAUGCUGGGAGUGCUGGAGACCAAUUGCAAACAACUCCACUCCUCCAACGACUAAAUUCUGUCUCUAAUGCUGUCCUCAAAUAAAAACCUACAUG